UACUUCCUUGUGACUCAACGUCUAAUGGUCAUGUUUUGAUGGUGGUUUAAACAACACAAGAGAAGCCAGUUUCCAUUAAGGAAACACACUCAAAUACAUUAUAUGCGUUCCAGGAAUUUUGAAACAACUCACUGUUUUAUUUAUGUUGGUGAAGAUGUGAGAGUGAAAAAAAUGAACAAAAGAACUAAAGAUUUUUGGGAAUGACUACAACAUGGUAAUUGCAUAAUUUCCCUGUGGAAAUGGAAUUUUCUGGAGGCUUCCCAGAAGGGUCAAAAUUUGAUGGAUGCAGACUCUUCCAGUGAAC
Long non-coding RNA from Sciurus carolinensis (gray squirrel), 304 nucleotides. RefSeq lists it as uncharacterized. The record is from RefSeq and is a predicted model, not a curated record. The transcript has 3 exons. NCBI's taxonomy places the organism in Eukaryota, Metazoa, Chordata, Mammalia, Rodentia, Sciuridae.